CGGGGUGAGUAAUGCUUGGGAAUCUAGCUUAUGGAGGGGGAUAACUACGGGAAACUGUAGCUAAUACCGCGUAAUAUCGAAAGAUUGAAGUGUGGGACCUUCGGGCCACAUGCCAUAGGAUGAGCCCAAGUGGGAUUAGGUAGUUGGUGAGGUAAAGGCUCACCAAGCCGACGAUCUCUAGCUGGUCUGAGAGGAUGACCAGCCACACUGGGACUGAGACACGGCCCAG
This 229-nucleotide ribosomal RNA is filed under the name uncultured bacterium. RNAcentral's name for it is "partial 16S ribosomal RNA". It matches the Rfam family "Bacterial small subunit ribosomal RNA", at positions 104 to 334 of the family's 1533-position model. The record is from RNAcentral.